CGCCUGUAUUCUAAAAGCUCACUCACACUCACAGAGUGGAGGUUCAAUCUGAGCUUGCGUUGAGUGUCAAUGCUGUUUUAAUAGCUGGAGGGUGAGUAUGACACUAGCUAUUCAAAAACAGCACUGACACUCAAGGGAAGCUCAGAUUGAACCUCCACUCUUUGAGUGUGAGCUUUUAGAAUACAUGUG
This is a non-coding RNA of Paramuricea clavata, 189 nucleotides long. The record is from the annotation of a GenBank genome assembly. Lineage: Eukaryota; Metazoa; Cnidaria; Anthozoa; Malacalcyonacea; Plexauridae.